CUGGAAUGCACUGAAAGGUGACGCAAACUCAAUUGUAACUUUCAAAAGAUUUCCAGCAUCUGCAUUUUUUCUUGUUUUUGAUGAUGAAUUAUGAGUUGGCUGUGAUUUAUAAUGGCGUGCUUAUAAUGAUCUGGAUCAAUGACUGUAAUGACUUGUUCCGGGGAUUCAACAUUGGUAACCAGAAGAGCAGAGAUUCGAGAGAAUUGCA
Molecule: long non-coding RNA, 208 nt
Organism: Pristis pectinata (smalltooth sawfish)
Lineage: Eukaryota; Metazoa; Chordata; Chondrichthyes; Rhinopristiformes; Pristidae
Exons: 3
Source: RefSeq, a predicted model, not a curated record